RNAcentral lists this ribosomal RNA (406 nucleotides) under uncultured bacterium. RNAcentral's name for it is "bacterial SSU rRNA". It matches the Rfam family "Bacterial small subunit ribosomal RNA", at positions 505 to 916 of the family's 1533-position model. The record is from RNAcentral.
GUGCCAGCAGUCGCGNAAUACGGAGGGUGCAAGCGUUAUCCGGAUUCAUUGGGUUUAAAGGGUGCGCAGGUGGGAAUGUAAGUCAGUGGUGAAAUACUGCCGCUUAACGGUAGAACUGCCAUUGAUACUGCAUUUCUUGAGUAUGGUUGAGGUAGGUGGAAUGUGUUGUGUAGCGGUGAAAUGCAUAGAUAUGACACAGAACGCCGAUUGCGAAGNAACUUACUAAGCCAUUACUGACGCUGAGGCACGAAAGCGGGGGUAGCGAACAGGAUUAGAUACCCUGGUAGUCCACGCCGUAAACGAUGUUCACUCGCUGUUUGCGAUACACAGNAAGCGGCUGACGAAAGCUUUAAGUGAACCACCUGGGGAGUACGAUCGCGAGGUUGAAACUCAAAUGAAUUGACGG